CCUACUACGAUAGUAUGAUCUGAUAAAUAUAUUUAUAAUAAUGUAAUGUAAAGAAGAAUAUUUUGUCGAUUGGAUCGAUGGAAAUACCUAAAUCCAUUGUAUUGACGAUAUCAUACAUCAACACGUAAUGGGGUACUUAAAUACGCAAUGUGUGUAAGUGUGUUGUACAAUAACAACAGAAUCAAUUCAUUUCCUAUUCGGACACUCAUGGACCAGUGUUCUUUUUUUAUUAUAAACAACUGCUAAAUAUUGAAUUUUAGUUUCAACUUCGGACAGUUGAACAGUGGUGGACAACAAAGUGGCCGUAUCGGUAGCAGGAGUAGGAGUUAGAAUUUAUAACAAAAGAUGCUACAACUGCCACAGAUUCGGCCACGUCGCCAAAUAUUGCAGAAUGCCAAUCAAGCCUACAAUCAUAGUGGAAGAGGUGGUGGUGGUGCUAGAUAAGGCUGAGGAAGGAGUGGCGGCCACUACCUGUAAAAUGCAGAAAUAGCCAUUGAUGAAGAAAACGUGGAAACGAAAGCAAUUGAUAUGGUGAGGCCCUUUUUUGAAAAUCUUAUUUAUUGUUUUGUAUAUUUUUUGCAGAAUGAAUAAAUUUUUUUUUUUUGUUUUACAAUUC
Molecule: long non-coding RNA, 616 nt
Organism: Melanaphis sacchari
Lineage: Eukaryota; Metazoa; Arthropoda; Insecta; Hemiptera; Aphididae
Exons: 5
Source: RefSeq, a predicted model, not a curated record